This 781-nucleotide small RNA is filed under the name Paramontastraea peresi. RNAcentral's name for it is "eukaryotic LSU rRNA". The stretch from base 380 to 533 matches the Rfam family "5.8S ribosomal RNA". The record is from RNAcentral. Lineage: Eukaryota; Metazoa; Cnidaria; Anthozoa; Scleractinia; Merulinidae.
UAGUGAGGCCUCCUGACUGGCGCCGAUACUCUGGCAACAGAGCGCCGGAUGCCGGAAAGUUGGUCAAACUUGAUCAUUUAGAGGAAGUAAAAGUCGUAACAAGGUUUCCGUAGGUGAACCUGCGGAAGGAUCAUUACCGAUACCACGUCCAAGAACGAAACAACCGUUUUGUUGUUCUUGCUCUGUGAACCGUACCUAACCAUCAGGGGUCGGCCAAGAGGCCGUUAAAUGGCGAUCGGACGCGUGCGCCUUGCUGUGCGCGCGCGGCCGCUUCGCCGGCCCCGCCUCGCGUUUUUCUCGCAAUGUACGUGUCUACUGUCUGAUGUCUGUGUGCGGCGCUCAGCCGAGCGCCCCACUUGCAAAGAAAAAAAUGAGAGACAACUUUUGACGGUGGAUCUCUUGGCUCACGCAUCGAUGAAGAACGCAGCCAGCUGCGAUAAGUAGUGUGAAUUGCAGAAUUCAGUGAAUCAUCGAAUCUUUGAACGCAAAUGGCGCUCUUGGGUUCUCCCAGGAGCAUGUCUGUCUGAGUGUCGGAUAUCAUCCAUCGCAGGGCGCGCUUGCCGCGCCCCUGCGGCGUUGAGGUCGUCACGGCCGCUUUAAAUGGUGGCCGUGUCCCUUGAAGGGCAGAGAGACGCCGCGGUUGUGGGUUAAUUUCUCGCAGCGCACCAGCGGAGGCUAAAGAGUUUACGGUCCUUCGCGCGCUGUCGGGUUGCCCGCCGCGGGUGUCGCCGAGGCGAAGCGUACAUAGCGUACAUACCUUCUUGACCUCAGAUCAGGCAAG